Molecule: ribosomal RNA, 52 nt
Filed under: Eimeria maxima
Lineage: Eukaryota; Apicomplexa; Conoidasida; Eucoccidiorida; Eimeriidae
Description: partial 18S ribosomal RNA
Source: RNAcentral
GGAAGUAAAAGUGUAACAAGCUUUCCGUAGGUGAACCUGCGGAAGGAUCAUU